This 252-nucleotide ribosomal RNA is filed under the name uncultured bacterium. Its description in RNAcentral is "partial 16S ribosomal RNA". It matches the Rfam family "Bacterial small subunit ribosomal RNA", at positions 524 to 776 of the family's 1533-position model. The record is from RNAcentral.
UACGUAGGUCCCGAGCGUUGUCCGGAUUUAUUGGGCGUAAAGCGAGCGCAGGAGGUUUAUUAAGUCUGGUGUAAAAGGCAGUGGCUCAACCAUUGUAUGCAUUGGAAACUGGUAGACUUGAGUGCAGGAGAGGAGAGUGGAAUUCCAUGUGUAGCGGUGAAAUGCGUAGAUAUAUGGAGGAACACCGGUGGCGAAAGCGGCUCUCUGGCCUGUAACUGACACUGAGGCUCGAAAGCGUGGGGAGCAAACAGG